Molecule: ribosomal RNA, 427 nt
Filed under: uncultured bacterium
Lineage: Bacteria
Description: bacterial SSU rRNA
Rfam family: Bacterial small subunit ribosomal RNA
Source: RNAcentral
UGGGGAAUUUUGGACAAUGGGGGCAACCCUGAUCCAGCCAUGCCGCGUGUGCGAAGAAGGCCUUCGGGUUGUAAAGCACUUUUGGCGGGAAAGAAAAGGCGCUGGCCAAUACCUGGCGCCGAUGAUGGUACCCGCAGAAUAAGCACCGGCUAACUACGUGCCAGCAGCCGCGGUAAUACGUAGGGUGCAAGCGUUAAUCGGAAUUACUGGGCGUAAAGCGUGCGCAGGCGGUUCGGAAAGAGAGAUGUGAAAUCCCAGGGCUUAACCUUGGAACUGCAUUUUUAACUCCCGGACUAGAGUAUGUCAGAGGGGGGUGGAAUUCCACGUGUAGCAGUGAAAUGCGUAGAUAUGUGGAGGAACACCGAUGGCGAAGGCAGCCCCCUGGGAUGAUACUGACGCUCAUGCACGAAAGCGUGGGGAGCAAACA